CCCUUAGAUGCUCUGGGCCGCACGCGCGCUACACUGGUCGAUGCAACGAGUUUCUUUCCUUGGCCGACAGGCCUGGGCAAUCUUUGAACAUCGAUCGUGAUCGGGAUAGAUUCUUGUAAUUUUUGAUCUUAAACGAGGAAUUCCUAGUAAACGCAAGUCAUCAGCUUGCAUUGAUUACGUCCCUGCCCUUUGUACACACCGCCUGUCGCACCUACCGAUUGAAUGGUCCGGUGAAAUCUCCGGACUGGCGUGAGUCGGAGCAAUCUGACAAACACCGGAAAGUUGAUUAAACCUUACCAUUUAGAGGAAGGUGAAGUCGUAACA
RNAcentral lists this ribosomal RNA (324 nucleotides) under uncultured eukaryote. RNAcentral describes it as "partial 18S ribosomal RNA". It matches the Rfam family "Eukaryotic small subunit ribosomal RNA", at positions 1470 to 1796 of the family's 1831-position model. The record is from RNAcentral.